UACGUAGGGUGCGAGCGUUGUCCGGAAUUACUGGGCGUAAAGAGCUCGUAGGUGGUUUGUCGCGUCGUCUGUGAAAUUCCGGGGCUUAACCUCGGGCGUGCAGGCGAUACGGGCAAUACUUGAGUGCUGUAGGGAGACUGGAAUUCCUGGUGUAGCGGUGGAAUGCGCAGAUAUCAGGAGGAACACCGAUGGCGAAGGCAGGUCUCUGGGCAGUAACUGACGCUGAGGAGCGAAAGCAUGGGUAGCGAACAGGAUUAGAUA
Molecule: ribosomal RNA, 261 nt
Filed under: uncultured prokaryote
Description: partial 16S ribosomal RNA
Rfam family: Bacterial small subunit ribosomal RNA
Source: RNAcentral